GCCCGGCUAGCUCAAUCGGUAGAGCGUGAGACUCUUAGUCCUCACGUCCUAAUAAGACACGAUUACUCAGUUCAUCUCAAGGUUGUGGGGUAUGUAUCUGCUCCACUUUAAUCGAGAAUAACAUACUAACAAUCUCAAUAGUUCGACCCCCACGUCGGGCU
RNAcentral lists this transfer RNA (161 nucleotides) under Pyrenophora teres f. teres 0-1. RNAcentral's name for it is "tRNA-Lys for anticodon CUU". It matches the Rfam family "tRNA". Rfam says of the family: Transfer RNA (tRNA) molecules are approximately 80 nucleotides in length. Their secondary structure includes four short double-helical elements and three loops (D, anti-codon, and T loops). Further hydrogen bonds mediate the characteristic L-shaped molecular structure. tRNAs have two regions of fundamental functional importance: the anti-codon, which is responsible for specific mRNA codon recognition, and the 3' end, to which the tRNAs corresponding amino acid is attached (by aminoacyl-tRNA synthetases). tRNAs cope with the degeneracy of the genetic code in two manners: having more than one tRNA (with a specific anti-codon) for a particular amino acid; and 'wobble' base-pairing, i.e. permitting non-standard base-pairing at the 3rd anti-codon position. Lineage: Eukaryota; Fungi; Ascomycota; Dothideomycetes; Pleosporales; Pleosporaceae. The record is from RNAcentral.